This 1346-nucleotide ribosomal RNA is filed under the name uncultured bacterium. Its description in RNAcentral is "bacterial SSU rRNA". It matches the Rfam family "Bacterial small subunit ribosomal RNA", at positions 28 to 1381 of the family's 1533-position model. The record is from RNAcentral.
GACGGACGCUGGCGGCGUGCUUAACACAUGCAAGUCGAACGGAAAGGCCCUGCUUUUGUGGGGUGCUCGAGUGGCGAACGGGUGAGUAACACGUGAGUAACCUGCCCUUGACUUUGGAAUAACUUCAGGAAACUGGGGCUAAUACCGGAUAGGAGCUCCUGCUGCAUGGUGGGGGUUGGAAAGUUUCGGCGGUUGGGGAUGGACUCGCGGCUUAUCAGCUUGUUGGUGGGGUAGUGGCUUACCAAGGCUUUGGCGGGUAGCCGGCCUGAGAGGGUGACCGGCCACGUUGGGACUGAGAUACGGCCCAGACUCCUACGGGAGGCAGCAGUGGGGAAUAUUGCACAAUGGGCGGAAGCCUGAUGCAGCAACGCCGCGUGCGGGAUGACGGCCUUCGGGUUGUAAACCGCUUUCGCCUGUGACGAAGCGUGAGUGACGGUAAUGGGUAAAGAAGCACCGGCUAAUUACGUGCCAGCAGCCGCGGUGAUACGUAGGGUGCGAGCGUUGUCCGGAUUUAUUGGGCGUAAAGGGCUCGUAGGUGGUUGAUCGCGUCGGAAGUGUAAUCUUGGGGCUUAACCCUGAGCGUGCUUUCGAUACGGGUUGACUUGAGGAAGGUAGGGGAGAAUGGAAUUCCUGGUGGAGCGGUGGAAUGCGCAGAUAUCAGGAGGAACACCAGUGGCGAAGGCGGUUCUCUGGGCCUUUCCUGACGCUGAGGAGCGAAAGCGUGGGGAGCGAACAGGCUUAGAUACCCUGGUAGUCCACGCUGUAAACGGUGGGUACUAGGUGUGGGGUCCAUUCCACGGGUUCCGUGCCGUAGCUAACGCUUUAAGUACCCCGCCUGGGGAGUACGGCCGCAAGGCUAAAACUCAAAGGAAUUGACGGGGCCCCGCACAAGCGGCGGAGCAUGCGGAUUAAUUCGAUGCAACGCGUAGAACCUUACCUGGGUUUGACAUGGAUCGGGAGCGCUCAGAGAUGGGUGUGCCUCUUUUGGGGUCGGUUCACAGGUGGUGCAUGGCUGUCGUCAUCUCGUGUCGUGAGAUGUUGGGUUAAGUCCCGCAACGAGCGCAACCCUUGUUCACUGUUGCCAGCACGUUAUGGUGGGGACUCAGUGGAGACCGCCGGGGUCAACUCGGAGGAAGGUGGGGAUGACGUCAAGUCAUCAUGCCCCUUAUGUCCAGGGCUUCACGCAUGCUACAAUGGCUGGUACAGAGAGUGGCGAGCCUGUGAGGGUGAGCGAAUCUCGGAAAGCCGGUCUCAGUUCGGAUUGGGGUCUGCAACUCGACCUCAUGAAGUCGGAGUCGCUAGUAAUCGCAGAUCAGCAACGCUGCGGUGAAUACGUUCCCGGGGCU